RNAcentral lists this ribosomal RNA (395 nucleotides) under Candacia norvegica. RNAcentral's name for it is "SSU rRNA". It matches the Rfam family "Eukaryotic small subunit ribosomal RNA", at positions 930 to 1323 of the family's 1831-position model. The record is from RNAcentral. Lineage: Eukaryota; Metazoa; Arthropoda; Copepoda; Calanoida; Candaciidae.
UGAAGACAAACUUCUGCGAAAGCAUUUGCCAAGAAUGUUUUCAUUAAUCAAGAACGAAAGUUAGAGGUUCGAAGGCGAUUAGAUACCGCCCUAGUUCUAACCAUAAACGAUGCCAGCUAGCGAUCUGCAGGUGUUUUAUUUUCUGACUCUGCAGGGAGCUUCCGGGAAACCAAAGCUUGUGGGUUCCAGGGGAAGUAUGGUUGCAAAGCUGAAACUUAAAGGAAUUGACGGAAGGGCACCACCAGGAGUGGAGCCUGUGGCUUAAUUUGACUCAACACGGGAAAUCUCACCAGGCCCGGACACCAGAAGGAUUGACAGAUUGAUAGCUCUUUCUUGAUUUGGUGGGUGGUGGUGCAUGGCCGUUCUUAGUUGGUGGAGUGAUUUGUCUGGUUAAU